GAAAAGGAUGUGGCGUUGCCCAGACAACUAGGAUGUUGGCUUAGAAGCAGCCAUCAUUUAAAGAGUGCGUAAUAGCUCACUAGUCGAGUGACACUGCGCCGAAAAUGUACCGGGGCUAAACAUAUUACCGAAGCUGUGGAUUGUCCUUUGGACAAUGGUAGGAGAGCGUUCUAAGGGCGUUGAAGCAUGAUCGCAAGGACAUGUGGAGCGCUUAGAAGUGAGAAUGCCGGUGUGAGUAGCGAAAGACGGGUGAGAAUCCCGUCCACCGAUUGACUAAGGUUUCCAGAGGAAGGCUCGUCCGCUCUGGGUUAGUCGGGUCCUAAGCUGAGGCCGACAGGCGUAGGCGAUGGAUAACAGGUUGAUAUUCCUGUACCACCAUUAUUCGUUUUAAGCGAUGGGGGGACGCAGUAGGAUAGGCGAAGCGUGCUGUUGGAGUGCACGUCCAAGCAGUGAGAUUGAGUGUUAGGCAAAUCCGGCACUCUUAAGAUUGAGCUGUGAUGGGGAGAGGAACUUGUUCCUCGAGUCGUUGAUUUCACACUGCCGAGAAAAGCCUCUAGCUAGAAUAACGGUGCCCGUACCGCAAACCGACACAGGUAGUCAAGAUGAGAAUUCUAAGGUGAGCGAGCGAACUCUCGUUAAGGAACUCGGCAAAAUGACCCCGUAACUUCGGGAGAAGGGGUGCUCUUUGAGGUUCACGCUUCGAAGAGCCGCAGUGAAUAGGCCCAAGCGACUGUUUAUCAAAAACACAGGUCUCUGCUAAACCGUAAGGUGACGUAUAGGGGCUGACGCCUGCCCGGUGCUGGAAGGUUAAGAGGAGUGGUUAGCGCAAGCGAAGCUACGAAUCGAAGCCCCAGUAAACGGCGGCCGUAACUAUAACGGUCCUAAGGUAGCGAAAUUCCUUGUCGGGUAAGUUCCGACCCGCACGAAAGGCGUAACGAUUUGGGCACUGUCUCAACGAGAGACUCGGUGAAAUCAUAGUACCGGUGAAGAUGCCGGUUACCCGCGACAGGACGGAAAGACCCCGUGGAGCUUUACUGUAGCCUGAUAUUGAAAUUCGGUACAGUUUGUACAGGAUAGGUAGGAGCCUUAGAAGCGUGAGCGCUAGCUUACGUGGAGGCAUUGGUGGGAUACUACCCUAAUUGUAUUGGAUUUCUAACCCGCAGCACUUAUCGUGCUGGGAGACAGUGUCAGGCGGGCAGUUUGACUGGGGCGGUCGCCUCCUAAAGAGUAACGGAGGCGCUCAAAGGUUCCCUCAGAAUGGUUGGAAAUCAUUCAUAGAGUGUAAAGGCAUAAGGGAGCUUGACUGCGAGACCUACAAGUCGAGCAGGGUCGAAAGACGGACUUAGUGAUCCGGUGGUUCCGCAUGGAAGGGCCAUCGCUCAACGGAUAAAAGCUACCCCGGGGAUAACAGGCUUAUCUCCCCCAAGAGUUCACAUCGACGGGGAGGUUUGGCACCUCGAUGUCGGCUCAUCGCAUCCUGGGGCUGUAGUCGGUCCCAAGGGUUGGGCUGUUCGCCCAUUAAAGCGGUACGCGAGCUGGGUUCAGAACGUCGUGAGACAGUUCGGUCCCUAUCCGUCGUGGGCGUAGGAAAUUUGAGAGGAGCUGUCCUUAGUACGAGAGGACCGGGAUGGACAUACCUCUGGUGUACCAGUUGUCGUGCCAACGGCAUAGCUGGGUAGCUAUGUAUGGACGGGAUAAGUGCUGAAAGCAUCUAAGCAUGAAGCCCCCCU
Molecule: ribosomal RNA, 1730 nt
Filed under: Staphylococcus pseudintermedius
Lineage: Bacteria; Bacillati; Bacillota; Bacilli; Caryophanales; Staphylococcaceae
Description: partial 23S ribosomal RNA
Rfam family: Bacterial large subunit ribosomal RNA
Source: RNAcentral